CGGGAUUGCCUUAGUAACGGCGAGUGAAGCGGCAAAAGCUCAAAUUUGAAAUCUGGUACCUUCGGUGCCCGAGUUGUAAUUUGGAGAGGGCAACUUUGGGGCCGUUCCUUGUCUAUGUUCCUUGGAACAGGACGUCAUAGAGGGUGAGAAUCCCGUGUGGCGAGGAGUGCGGUUCUUUGUAAAGUGCCUUCGAAGAGUCGAGUUGUUUGGGAAUGCAGCUCUAAGUGGGUGGUAAAUUCCAUCUAAAGCUAAAUAUUGGCGAGAGACCGAUAGCGAACAAGUACAGUGAUGGAAAGAUGAAAAGAACUUUGAAAAGAGAGUGAAAAAGUACGUGAAAUUGUUGAAAGGGAAGGGCAUUUGAUCAGACAUGGUGUUUUGUGCCCUCUGCUCCUUGUGGGUAGGGGAAUCUCGCAUUUCACUGGGCCAGCAUCAGUUUUGGUGGCAGGAUAAAUCCAUAGGAAUGUAGCUUGCCUCGGUAAGUAUUAUAGCCUGUGGGAAUACUGCCAGCUGGGACUGAGGACUGCGACGUAAGUCAAGGAUGCUGGCAUAAUGGUUAUAUGCCGCCCGUCUUGAAACAGGACCA
Molecule: ribosomal RNA, 583 nt
Filed under: Saccharomyces cerevisiae (brewer's yeast)
Lineage: Eukaryota; Fungi; Ascomycota; Saccharomycetes; Saccharomycetales; Saccharomycetaceae
Description: eukaryotic LSU rRNA
Rfam family: Eukaryotic large subunit ribosomal RNA
Source: RNAcentral